RNAcentral lists this long non-coding RNA (1164 nucleotides) under Marmota monax (woodchuck). Lineage: Eukaryota; Metazoa; Chordata; Mammalia; Rodentia; Sciuridae. The record is from RNAcentral.
CUUCUUCUUCUUUUUUUUAAAGCCUUACUAGAUUUUUUAUUGGUUCUUUUUAAAUUAUACAUGGCACUAGAGUCCAUUUUAAUAAAAUUAACAUAAUUCUAAACAGAGAAAAACUGAAAGCAUUCCCUCUAAAAACUGGAACAAGAUAGGGAUGACCUGUUUUUACCACUUCUAUUCAACAGUCCUUGAAACUAUAGCCAGCAAUUAGACAGAAAAAGACACUAGAGGGAUACAGAUAGGAAAAGAAGAGCUCAAACCAUCUCUGUUUGCCAACAACAUGAUCCUAUAUUUAGGAGACCCCCAAAAAUUCCACCAGGAAACUUCUAGAAGUCAUAAACGAAUUCAGCAAAGUAGCAGGAUGCAAAACGAGCACCCACAAAUCAAUUGCGUUGUUAUACACCAAUGACGAAUUAGGGGAAAGAGAAAUUAGGAAAACUGUCCCAUUCACAAGAGCCUCCAACCAAUAAAUAAACAGAAAAACUAAACAAAUCAAAGCAACAACAACAGAAACCCUUGGUAACCAGGGGUGAAAGACCUCUACAACGAAAACUACAGAACAGUAAAGAAAAAAAUCGAAGGACUUACAAGAUGGAAAUCUCUCCCAAGUUCUUGGAGAGGCAGAAUUCAUAUUGUCAGAAGGGUCAUGUUACCAAGUGUGCUGUACAGAUUUCAUGCAAUUUCUAUUGAAUUCCAGUGGCGUUCUUCAUAGAAAUAGAAAAGGCAGUCGUGAAAUUUAUUUGGAAAAAAGAAGAGGCUCAGAAGAGACGAACCUAUCCUUAGCGAGAAAGAUGAAGCAGGAGGGAACACAAUCUCAGACCUUAAGCUACAGUACAGAGCUACCGUCGCACAAGCAGCAUGGCACGGGGACCAAGGAGCACAGCCGAGGGCACAGAGACACGCGCACGUCAACGCUGCGGUCUCCCACUAGGCGAAGGCACCAUGGACAUACGUCGGAGACAGGAGCGCCUCUUCAACAAAUGGUGCUGGGGACAGUGGAGAUCCAUAUGGAGCAGAAUGACAUGGAACCCCACCUCUCACCCUGCGUGACAUUCAACUCAAAGUGGACUUUGUCUUGAUCACAUCUUGCCACUGAAGAAAUGGAGGCGCAGACAGUUUGAGUUAUGUGUCCGUGGCCACCUGCGGACAGCAGAGGAUAAGAGAGGG